UUCCGGCGGUUAAAGAUGGGCAUGCGUGGCAUUAGUUAGUUGGUGAGGUAACGGCUCACCAAGGCAAUGAUGCCUAGGGGUCCUGAGAGGGUUUUCCCCCACACUGGUACUGAGACACGGACCAGACUCCUACGGGAGGCAGCAGUAAGGAAUAUUGGGCAAUAGGCGCAAGCCUGACCCAGCCAUGCCGCGUGCAGGAUGACGGCCCUAUGGGUUGUAAACUGCUUUUGUAUGGGAAAAAACUCCCGCACGUGUGCGGCGCUGAUUGUACCAUACGAAUAAGCAUCGGCUAACUCCGUGCCAGCAGCCGCGGUAAUACGGAGGAUGCAAGCGUUAUCCGGAUUUAUUGGGUUUAAAGGGUGCGCAGGCGGAUUAGUAAGUCAGUGGUGAAAGCUCCCGGCUCAACCGGGAAAAUGCCAUUGAUACUGUUAAUCUUGAGUACAGUUGAGGUUGGCGGAAUGUAUCACGUAGCGGUGAAAUGCAUAGAUAUGAUACAGAACACCGAUAGCGAAGGCAGCUUACCAAACUGUAACUGACGCUCAUGCACGAAAGCGUGGGGAGCAAACAGGAUUAGAUACCCUGGUAGUCCACGCUGUAAACUAUGAUCACUCGCUGUUGGCGAUACACUGUCAGCGGCUUAGCGAAAGUGUUAAGUGAUCCACCUGGGGAGUACGAUCGCAAGGUUGAAACUCAAAGGAAUUGACGGGGGCCCGCACAAGCGGAGGAGCAUGUGGUUUAAUUCGAUGAUACGCGAGGAACCUUACCUGGGCUUAAAUGCAGAACGACCUCCCGAGAAAUCGGGACUUCCUUCGGGACGGACUGCGAGGUGCUGCAUGGUUGUCGUCAGCUCGUGCCGUGAGGUGUCGGGUUAAGUCCCAUAACGAGCGCAACCCUUAUCCUUAGUUGCCAACAGGUAAUGCUGGGAACUCUAAGGAAACUGCCUACGCAAGUAGUGAGGAAGGUGGGGAUGACGUCAAAUCAGCACGGCCCUUAUGUCCAGGGCUACACACGUGCUACAAUGGUCGGUACAGAGGGCAGCUACCUGGCAACAGGAUGCUAAUCUCGAAAGCCGAUCUCAGUUCGGAUUGGAGUCUGCAACUCGACUCCAUGAAGUUGGAUUCGCUAGUAAUCGCGCAUCAGCCAUGGCGCGGUGAAUACGUUCCCGGGCCUUGUACACACCGCCCGUCAAGCCAUGGAAGCUGGGAGUACCUGA
RNAcentral lists this ribosomal RNA (1213 nucleotides) under uncultured organism. RNAcentral describes it as "bacterial SSU rRNA". It matches the Rfam family "Bacterial small subunit ribosomal RNA", at positions 210 to 1424 of the family's 1533-position model. The record is from RNAcentral.